Molecule: unclassified non-coding RNA, 303 nt
Filed under: uncultured fungus
Lineage: Eukaryota; Fungi
Description: partial contains small subunit ribosomal RNA, internal transcribed spacer 1, and 5.8S ribosomal RNA
Rfam family: Eukaryotic small subunit ribosomal RNA (bases 1-73)
Source: RNAcentral
UCAAACUUGGUCAUUUAGAGGAAGUAAAAGUCGUAACAAGGUUUCCGUAGGUGAACCUGCGGAAGGAUCAUUACCGAGUGCGGGUUCCAACGAGCCCAACCUCCCACCCGUGUCUACCGUUACCGCGUUGCCUCGGCGGGCCCACUGGGCCUGGCCCCGGUCGCCGGGGGGCUUCUGCCCCCGGGCCCGCGCCCGCCGAAGCACCCUAGAACCCUGUCUGAACAGUGAGUCUGAGUAGGAUAUUGAAUCAUUAAAACUUUCAACAACGGAUCUCUUGGUUCCGGCAUCGAUGAAGAACGCAGC